This 239-nucleotide non-coding RNA is filed under the name Flavonifractor plautii. RNAcentral describes it as "T-box sequence". It matches the Rfam family "T-box leader". Rfam says of the family: Uncharged tRNA acts as the effector for transcription antitermination of genes in the T-box leader family. The record is from RNAcentral. Lineage: Bacteria; Bacillati; Bacillota; Clostridia; Eubacteriales; Oscillospiraceae.
UUAAACGCAAUGAGGGAGAAGAGUACUGCGGGGACUCAGUCCCAGCGAGCGGGGGAUGGUGAAAGCCCCGCACAGGAGGCCGCGGGAAGAACGCUCCGGAGCGGAAACCCGAACGCACCGCGCCAGUAGGGGGAACGGGCUGCGACCGUUACAUCGCGCCGACUUGUCAGAGCCGGAAAAGGGGCCGCCGUCCGGCGGCAAAUUAGGUGGCACCGCGGAGCGCAGCAUUCGUCCUAAUC